GACGAACGCUGGCGGCGUGCCUAAUACAUGCAAGUAGAACGCUGAAGGAGGAGCUUGCUUCUCUGGAUGAGUUGCGAACGGGUGAGUAACGCGUAGGUAACCUGCCUGGUAGCGGGGGAUAACUAUUGGAAACGAUAGCUAAUACCGCAUAAGAGUAGAUGUUGCAUGACAUUUGCUUAAAAGGUGCAAUUGCAUCACUACCAGAUGGACCUGCGUUGUAUUAGCUAGUUGGUGGGGUAACGGCUCACCAAGGCGACGAUACAUAGCCGACCUGAGAGGGUGAUCGGCCACACUGGGACUGAGACACGGCCCAGACUCCUACGGGAGGCAGCAGUAGGGAAUCUUCGGCAAUGGACGGAAGUCUGACCGAGCAACGCCGCGUGAGUGAAGAAGGUUUUCGGAUCGUAAAGCUCUGUUGUAAGAGAAGAACGAGUGUGAGAGUGGAAAGUUCACACUGUGACGGUAUCUUACCAGAAAGGGACGGCGAACUACGU
This 494-nucleotide ribosomal RNA is filed under the name uncultured bacterium. Its description in RNAcentral is "partial 16S ribosomal RNA". It matches the Rfam family "Bacterial small subunit ribosomal RNA", at positions 28 to 506 of the family's 1533-position model. The record is from RNAcentral.